UACGUAGGGGGCAAGCGUUGUUCGGAGUUACUGGGCGUAAAGGGUGUGUAGGCGGUCCUCCAAGUUUGGUGUGAAAUCUCCCGGCUCAACCGGGAGGGUGCGCCGAAAACUGGGGGGCUAGAGUGCGGGAGGGGAGAGUGGAAUUCCUGGUGUAGCGGUGAAAUGCGUAGAUAUCAGGAGGAACACCGGUGGUGUAGACGGCUCUCUGGACCGUAACUGACGCUGAGACACGAAAGCGUGGGUAGCAAACAGG
Molecule: ribosomal RNA, 253 nt
Filed under: uncultured bacterium
Lineage: Bacteria
Description: partial 16S ribosomal RNA
Rfam family: Bacterial small subunit ribosomal RNA
Source: RNAcentral